RNAcentral lists this ribosomal RNA (253 nucleotides) under uncultured bacterium. RNAcentral describes it as "partial 16S ribosomal RNA". It matches the Rfam family "Bacterial small subunit ribosomal RNA", at positions 524 to 776 of the family's 1533-position model. The record is from RNAcentral.
UACGAAGGGGGCUAGCGUUGCUCGGAAUUACUGGGCGUAAAGGGCGCGUAGGCGGCACUGUUAGUCAGGCGUGAAAGUCCUGGGCUCAACCUGGGAACUGCGCUUGAUACGGCAGAGCUAGAGGAUGGAAGAGGCUCGCGGAAUUCCCAGUGUAGAGGUGAAAUACGUAGAGAUUGGGAAGAACACCAGUGGCGAAGGCGGCUAUCUGGACGGUUACUGACGCUAAGACGCGAAAGCGUGGGGAGCAAACAGG